CCAAGGAGUGCAACAUGCGUGCGAGUCUUUGGGUGACAAACCCGUCGGCGCAAUGAAAGUGAAGGCAGGCGUUGGUCUGCUUAGGCGAGAGCCUCCUCGGGGGCACAUCGUCGACCGAUCCCAGGCUACGCUGUGGCGGGAUUUGAGUAAGAGCGUGCCUGUUGCGACCCGAAAGAUGGUGAACUAUGCCUGAAUAGGGUGAAGCCAGAGGAAACUCUGGUGGAAGCUCGUAGCGAUUCUGACGUGCAAAUCGAUCGUCAAAUUUGGGUAUAGGGGCGAAAGACUAAUCGAACCAUCUA
RNAcentral lists this ribosomal RNA (299 nucleotides) under Cliona celata. RNAcentral's name for it is "partial 28S ribosomal RNA". It matches the Rfam family "Eukaryotic large subunit ribosomal RNA", at positions 666 to 946 of the family's 3401-position model. The record is from RNAcentral. Lineage: Eukaryota; Metazoa; Porifera; Demospongiae; Clionaida; Clionaidae.